This 29-nucleotide non-coding RNA is filed under the name Xenopus tropicalis (tropical clawed frog). RNAcentral also lists the same sequence under 3 other names. Lineage: Eukaryota; Metazoa; Chordata; Amphibia; Anura; Pipidae. The record is from RNAcentral.
AUCAAGUGUAGUAUCUGUUCUUAUCAGUU